CCUACGGGAGGCAGCAGUGGGGAAUCUUGCACAAUGGGCGAAAGCCUGAUGCAGCAACGCCGCGUGCGGGAAGAAGGCCCUAGGGUUGUAAACCGCUUUCAGUAGGGAAGAAAAUGACGGUACCUACAGAAGAAGGUGCGGCCAACUACGUGCCAGCAGCCGCGGUGACACGUAGGCACCAAGCGUUAUCCGGAUUUAUUGGGCGUAAAGAGCUCGUAGGCGGUUCGGUAAGUCGGGUGUGAAAACUCUGGGCUCAACCCAGAGAGGCCACCCGAUACUGCUGUGACUAGAGUGCGGUAGGGGAGCGGGGAAUUCCUGGUGUAGCGGUGAAAUGCGCAGAUAUCAGGAGGAACACCAGCGGCGAAGGCGCCGCUCUGGGCCGUAACUGACGCUGAGGAGCGAAAGCAUGGGUAGCAAACAGGAUUAGAUACCCUGGUAGUCCAUGCCGUAAACGUUGGGCACUAGGUGUGGGUCUCAACCAACGAGAUCCGCGCCGUCGCUAACGCAUUAAGUGCCCCGCCUGGGGAGGUACGGUCGCGAGACGUAAACUACAANAGUAAGUUAGUACGGCGUUGUAGACGUUGCCGAACGGACGACGACGAGGGAGGAGG
RNAcentral lists this ribosomal RNA (611 nucleotides) under uncultured bacterium. RNAcentral's name for it is "bacterial SSU rRNA". It matches the Rfam family "Bacterial small subunit ribosomal RNA", at positions 338 to 1533 of the family's 1533-position model. The record is from RNAcentral.